RNAcentral lists this transfer RNA (75 nucleotides) under Phyllobacteriaceae bacterium. RNAcentral's name for it is "tRNA-Glu". It matches the Rfam family "tRNA". From Rfam's summary of the family: Transfer RNA (tRNA) molecules are approximately 80 nucleotides in length. Their secondary structure includes four short double-helical elements and three loops (D, anti-codon, and T loops). RNAcentral also lists the same sequence under 3 other names. Lineage: Bacteria; Pseudomonadati; Pseudomonadota; Alphaproteobacteria; Hyphomicrobiales; Phyllobacteriaceae. The record is from RNAcentral.
GCGCCCUUCGUCUAGUGGUUAGGACGCCGCCCUUUCACGGCGGUAACACGGGUUCGAGUCCCGUAGGGCGUACCA